GAUGAAGAACGCAGCGAAAUGCGAUAAGUAAUGUGAAUUGCAGAAUUCAGUGAAUCAUCGAGUCUUUGAACGCACAUUGCGCCCCCUGGUAUUCCGGGGGGCAUGCCUGUCCGAGCGUCAUUGCCGCCCUCAAGCACGGCUUGUGUGUUGGGCCCCCCGCCCCCCGGCUUCGGGGGGCGGGCCCGAAAGGCAGCGGCGGCACCGCGUCCGGUCCUCGAGCGUAUGGGGCUUCGUCACCCGCUCUGUAGGCCCGGCCGGCGCCCGCCGGCGACCCCAAUCAAUCUUUCCAGGUUGACCUCGGAUCAGGUAGGGAUACCCGCUGAACUUAAGCAUAUCAAUAAGCGGAGGA
RNAcentral lists this unclassified non-coding RNA (349 nucleotides) under soil metagenome. RNAcentral's name for it is "partial contains 5.8S ribosomal RNA, internal transcribed spacer 2, and large subunit ribosomal RNA". The stretch from base 1 to 120 matches the Rfam family "5.8S ribosomal RNA", at positions 35 to 154 of the family's 154-position model. The record is from RNAcentral.